CUACGGGAUGCUGCAGUAAGGAAUAUUGCGCAAUGGAGGCAACUCUGACGCAGCCAUGCCGCGUGCAGGAAGAAGGCCUUAUGGGUCGUAAACUGCUUUUAUUUAGGAAUAAACCCCCGAACGUGUUCGGGGCUGAAGGUACUAAACGAAUAAGCACCGGCUAACUCCGUGCCAGCAGCCGCGGUAAUACGGAGGGUGCAAGCGUUAUCCGGAUUUAUUGGGUUUAAAGGGUGCGCAGGCGGGGUAUUAAGUCAGUGGUGAAAUCCCGGGGCUCAACUCCGGAACUGCCAUUGAUACUGAUAGUCUUGAGUUUGGUUGAAGUGGGCGGAAUGUAGCAUGUAGCGGUGAAAUGCAUAGAUAUGCUACAGAACACCAAUCGCGAAGGCAGCUCACUAAGCCAAAACCGACGCUCAUGCACGAAAGCGUGGGGAUCAAACAGGAUUAGAUACCCCCGUAGUC
RNAcentral lists this ribosomal RNA (459 nucleotides) under uncultured bacterium. Its description in RNAcentral is "partial 16S ribosomal RNA". It matches the Rfam family "Bacterial small subunit ribosomal RNA", at positions 339 to 795 of the family's 1533-position model. The record is from RNAcentral.